GUUUGAUUCUGGCUCAGGACGAACGCUGGCGGCAUGCCUAAUACAUGCAAGUCGAACGGAGUGAAGCCUUCGGGUUUCAUUCAGUGGCGAACGGGUGAGUAAUACGCAGGGAACCUGGCCAUGGCAGGGGGAUACACUCUGGAAACGGAGCAUAAGACCCCAUAGGCAGUAAGGCGGCAUCGCCUUGCUGUUAAAGAAAGCUGAAAGGCUUUGGCGAUGGAUGGACCUGCGGUGCAUUAGCUUGUUGGUGAGGCAACGGCUUACCAAGGCGAUGAUGCAUAGCCGGCCUGAGAGGGCGGACGGCCACACUGGGACUGAGACACGGCCCAGACUCCUGCGGGAGGCAGCAGUAGGGAAUUUUCGUCAAUGGGCGCAAGCCUGAACGAGCAAUGCCGCGUGAGUGAGGAAGGUCUUCGGACUGUAAAGCUCUGUUGCCGGGGAAAAAGGGGAAAUGCAGGAAAUGGCAUUUCAUGGAUGGUACCCGGCCAGAAAGCCACGGCUAACUACGUGCCAGCAGCCGCGGUAAUACGUAGGUGGCGAGCGUUAUCCGGAAUGAUUGGGCGUAAAGGGUGCGCAGGCGGUCUGUUAAGUCUGAAGGCAAAGGGAUGAGCUCAACUCAUUUAUGAUUCAGAAACUGGCAGACUUGAGGACAGGAGAGGGCGGUGGAACUCCAUGUGUAGCGGUAAAAUGCGCAGAGAUAUGGAAGAACACCAGUGGCGAAGGCGACCGCCUGGCCUGUGACUGACGCUGAGGCACGAAAGCGUGGGGAGCAAAUAGGAUUAGAUACCCUAGUAGUCCACGCCGUAAACGAUGAGGAGCAGGCGUUGGGAGUGAAAUCUCAGUGCCGAAGCCAACGCAGUGACUCCUCCGCCUGGGGAGUAUGCACGCAAGUGUGAAACUCAAAGGAAUUGACGGGGGCCCGCACAAGCGGUGGAGUAUGUGGUUUAAUUCGAAGCAACGCGAAGAACCUUACCAGGUUUUGACAUCGGAUGCGAAGGCGCAGAGAUGCGCUGGAGGCUAUCAUCCAGACAGGUGGUGCAUGGUUGUCGUCAGCUCGUGUCGUGAGAUGUUCAGUUAAGUCUGGCAACGAGCGCAACCCCCGUGGUAUGUUACUAACGCAUUUGGGCGAGGACUCAUAUCAGACUGCCGGUGACAAACCGGAGGAAGGCGGGGAUGACGUCAAAUCAUCAUGCCCCUUAUGACCUGGGCUACACACGUACUACAAUGGCGUCUACAGAGGGAAGCGACCCUGAGAAGGGAAGCGAAACCGGAAAAGGGCGUCCCAGUUCGGAUUGAAGUCUGCAACCCGACUUCAUGAAGAUGGAAUCGCUAGUAAUCGCGGAUCAGCAUGCCGCGGUGAAUACGUUCCCGGGCCUUGUACACACCGCCCGUCAAACCAUGGAAGCCGGCAACGCCCGAAGCCGGUGGCAUAACCUUUUAGGAGUGAGCCGUCGAAGGCGGAGCCGAUGACUGGGGUUAAGUCGUAACAAGGUACCC
This 1497-nucleotide ribosomal RNA is filed under the name uncultured bacterium. RNAcentral describes it as "16S ribosomal RNA". It matches the Rfam family "Bacterial small subunit ribosomal RNA". The record is from RNAcentral.